GAUGGGUAGGGGUCCUGAGAGGGAGAUCCCCCACACUGGUACUGAGACACGGACCAGACUCCUACGGGAGGCAGCAGUGAGGAAUAUUGGACAAUGGGCGAGAGCCUGAUCCAGCCAUGCCGCGUGCAGGAAGACUGCCCUAUGGGUUGUAAACUGCUUUUAUACAGGAAGAAUAAGCCUUACGUGUAAGGUGAUGACGGUACUGUAAGAAUAAGGACCGGCUAACUCCGUGCCAGCAGCCGCGGUAAUACGGAGGGUCCGAGCGUUAUCCGGAAUUAUUGGGUUUAAAGGGUCCGUAGGCGGAUGAUUAAGUCAGGGGUGAAAGUUUGCAGCUCAACUGUAAAAUUGCCUUUGAUACUGGUCAUCUUGAGUUGUAUUGAAGUAGGCGGAAUAUGUAGUGUAGCGGUGAAAUGCAUAGAUAUUACAUAGAACACCAAUUGCGAAGGCAGCUUACUAAGUACUAACUGACGCUGAUGGACGAAAGCGUGGGUAGCGAACAGGAUUAGAUACCCUGGUAGUCCACGCCGUAAACGAUGGAUACUAGCUGUUCGGGACCUUGAGUUCUGAGCGGCUAAGCGAAAGUGAUAAGUAUCCCACCUGGGGAGUACGUUCGCAAGAAUGAAACUCAAAGGAAUUGACGGGGGCCCGCACAAGCGGUGGAGCAUGUGGUUUAAUUCGAUGAUACGCGAGGAACCUUACCAGGGCUUAAAUGUAGUCUGACAGCUUUAGAGAUAGAGUUUUCUUCGGACAGAUUACAAGGUGCUGCAUGGUUGUCGUCAGCUCGUGCCGUGAGGUGUCAGGUUAAGUCCUAUAACGGUGG
This 820-nucleotide ribosomal RNA is filed under the name marine metagenome. Its description in RNAcentral is "bacterial SSU rRNA". It matches the Rfam family "Bacterial small subunit ribosomal RNA", at positions 278 to 1099 of the family's 1533-position model. The record is from RNAcentral.